RNAcentral lists this long non-coding RNA (706 nucleotides) under Mytilus galloprovincialis (Mediterranean mussel). Lineage: Eukaryota; Metazoa; Mollusca; Bivalvia; Mytilida; Mytilidae. The record is from RNAcentral.
CGCAUUAUAUAAUAACAAAAAUUACUCUAAGCGCUUCACAUUUAAAAAUAUAUAAAUACAAAAAUACAUAAAUCAUAGAUUACAAAGCACUAUCUUAAAAGAAUCAAACAAGCAUAUAAAAAUUUAUAAGAUACUUAAAAAAAGAAAAAACAGAAAUAAAAGAAAUGAAAAAUGCAUGUACCCUAAAAUAUACAAAACUGUCUAAAACUAAUGCAGUCAAUUAAAAGUAUAUAAAAUCUACAAGAAAUCCUUAAAAGCAGUCCGAAAUAAAUGAGUCUUGAGUUGCUUUUUAAAACAUCUAAAGAAUUUACACUCCGUAAAGACGAUGGCAAAUUGUUCCAGAGUGUUGGCGCAGCCUUGUCAAAACGCCUCUCACCGUAGCUUUUUGUUCGAACGUCAUUUGGAGGAUGUAGAAGCAUACUAUUUUCCGACCUGAGGGAUCUACUUGGCUUGUAUGGAAUAAUUAAAUUUUGAAGGUAACUAGGAGCCUUGCCAUGCUGUGCUUUGUAAACAUAUAAAAGAAGUUUAUAUUGGCAACGGUAAUGUAUGGGUAGCCAGUGUAAUGAUAUUAAAACAGGCGUAAUUGAGUCAAAUUUCCUUUUUCGUGUUAUCAAACGCGCUGCUGUGUUUUGGACCCGCUGCAAUUUACUGAUAAUGUUGGUGUUAGUACCGUACAACAAUGCAUUUCCAUAGUCCAGCCUUGAUG